This 23-nucleotide small nuclear RNA is filed under the name Arabidopsis thaliana (thale cress). RNAcentral describes it as "snRNA_07492". Lineage: Eukaryota; Viridiplantae; Streptophyta; Magnoliopsida; Brassicales; Brassicaceae. The record is from RNAcentral.
GAAUCAACUCUACCCACAGAAAC